This 3366-nucleotide ribosomal RNA is filed under the name Triticum aestivum (bread wheat). Its description in RNAcentral is "partial small subunit ribosomal RNA". The record is from RNAcentral. Lineage: Eukaryota; Viridiplantae; Streptophyta; Magnoliopsida; Poales; Poaceae.
AUGGCGGCUCAGGGAGGCGAGGCGGCUGCCGGAUCCGACCCCAAGCCCAACGAGGGCUGGAGCGUAGAGCAGCCAAGCUCAUCUCAGUACCAACCUUCAGCAUCUGGUCAUCAUGCGUGGUCUUCUUCAAGUGGGGCUUCAUGGAACUAUCCAGUGGAUAAUUCAAACCAAAAUGCAGUUUACUAUGAUCCACAAAGGGAUGUCUCAGUUUCAGGAGCUACUCAAAAUGUGACAAGUGGUGCACCUCAUGUGACUCAACCGGCUGUUGGCACAGCUAAUGCAACCAAUACUUAUGCACCUUACUCAAAUUCUGUUCAACCUGGCUACAAUGCUGCACAUUAUCCAAACUAUUAUUAUAAUUAUCCACAACCAGCAACCGAUUCUUCUGUUCACCAAGGAGUAGAUCAAAGUUCAGGUGCUGCAUAUCAGCCUCUUACUUCAUUUCCAAAUUCAGGAUCUUACGUUGGUCCUACAAGUAACUCAUAUUAUAAUGCUGGUGCUGAUCAGACUGCGCAAGCAUAUGCUACCAACAACUAUUAUUAUCAAAAGAAUGCCUGGUCUGGAGGAAGUUCUGGAGAUGUUCACGCCCAGACAUAUCAGACUUACACUCCAUCAGAUACUAAUGCUGCCCAAAGUUCUUGUUCUCUGCCCACCACUUCUUUCCACUAUCCUCAACAGUACAACCAGUGGUCUAAUUAUUAUGACCAGCCUGCACCAAACUGCGGUGGCUUCGCAGUUGCCGGCAGCAGUGCUUCUGAUACAAAAUCUGCUAGUGUCGGUUCUGGUUAUGCAUAUCCCAGUACCCAGCCACCUCCACCAGGUACUACCCAACGGAAAAAUGAUGCUGUUGCACCUACUGCACCUCCCCAGGCAGCGGGAAUCACAGGGUUUCAAAGCCAGCACGUCAACCAGGCACCAGGCGCCCCAGGUUUUCAAAGCCAGCACGUCAACCAGGCACCAGGCGCCCCAGGUUUUCAAAGCCAGCAUGUCAACCAGGCACCAGGUGCCCCAGGUUUUCAAAGCCAGCACGUCAACCAGGCACCAAGCGCCCCAGGUUUUCAAAGCCAGCACGUCAACCAGGCACCAGGCGCCCCAGGGUUUCAAGGCCAGCAUGCCAACCAGGCACCAGGUGCCCCAGGGUUUCAAAGCCAGCAUGUUAACCAGGCACCAGGCGCCCCAGGGUUUCAAAGCCAGCACGGCAACCCGUCACCAGACACUCCAGGGUUUCAAAGCCAGCAUGUCAAUCUGGCACCAGUCACACCAGGGUUUCAAAGCCAGCAUGUCAACCCGUCACCAGACACUCCAGGGUUUCCAAACCCCUAUGCUAAUAAGACAGUUGCUGUCUCAGGGUUUCAGAACCAUUAUGCCAACCAGGCACCAGCUUACCAACAAAACUCUACAAGUCAUAGCCAGUUACCAUUAAGUAACCAACGAGAUCAACAGAAAGCUUUGCAUGCGCAAGGUCAAAGCUCAAAUGUUUAUUCAGUCAAUCAUGUUAAUGAAAACUCUCAACCAACUUUGCAGUGUUUUACGAAAACAGUUGCCAGUGUAAAUAAAGUACACAUCCCGACAAACCCUCGAAUAGCUCCAGGUUUCCCAAUGUCAAUGCCCCAAACUGGGAAGAAAUUAGAAGUUGAUUCAUCGCUAAAACCUGCUUAUGUUGGUGUUAACAUGCCCAAGAAUGAUGUGAAUGCAGCUCAAGAUGGUCAUGGAGCUGCAAUUCAGGGAUCAUUCCCUGUUUCACUUUGUACUUAUGUCGAGCGGAAUCUUUCCCGUUGCAAGGAUGAUGCCCAGAGAUCUGCCACCCAAAGCAUCAUGAAGGAGAUAAUCACCAAGGCAACUGCUGAUGGGACCCUUCAUACUAAGAACUGGGACAUUGAGCCGUUAUUAGCUUUGCCAGAAAAUGCCAAAGGCACAUUUAUGACAAGCAACGCAAAGGAUUCAAGUCCGUUCUCCUUUUCAACAUCUAGGAGGAGCCCGAGUAGACGUACGAAAAGUAGGUGGGAGCCAGUUGCAGAGGAAAAAGUAACUAACAACGUGGAAGUUUCGAAAGAGCCAGCAAAAAGUAAUGCCUGCACUACUUGGGAAAAUACUAGAAGAACGGGUAACACUUGGAAUCUUGGAAACUUUGUCCAGUCGCGUCAGGCUCCUCCAAGCCAAUGGAAUCAGAGGCCCUCCAAAAAGCAGCGGAUUGGUGGUAAUACGAAUCUAACAAAAAACGGGAAUGCUUCAAGUGACAGUGAUAAGGAGCAGGAUCUUACGAAAUAUUAUGCCAGUUCAAUUGCACUAACAAAUUCACCCGAGGAGAAGAAGCGACGGGAGCAUAGAUCUAAGCGAUUUGAACGUGGUCAGGGUGCAUCAUCAAAAUCUAUGAGUUCCAUACCACAUAAGAAUGGAGCAGCCAAUGUAUACACAAGGGGAGCCAUUUCAAUGCUUAAUAAUAUAAGUAAUGGAGAUGGUGCUAGCUUGGCAGUGGAGGACAUCGACUGGGACGCACUUACAAUUAAGGGAACAUGUCAGGAAAUCGAGAAACGAUAUCUACGCCUUACAUCCGCUCCUGAUCCAGCCACUGUAAGGCCAGAAGAUGUCUUAGAGAAAGCUCUUCACAUGGUUGAAACAUCUGAAAAGAAUUACCUCUAUAAAUGUGAUCAAUUGAAAUCUAUUAGGCAAGACCUUACUGUUCAGAGGAUUCAGAACGAGCUGACUGUCAAGGUUUAUGAAACUCAUGCACGCCUAGCACUUCAAGCUGGAGAUUUGUCCGAAUAUAAUCAGUGCCAAUCUCAACUGACGAGAUUAUAUGGUGAAGGAAUCCCAGGCUGUCAUCUUGAGUUCUCCGCUUACAACUUGUUGUGUGUCAUGUUACACUCUAAUAACAAAAGAGACUUGCUUUCAUCCAUGGCAAGCUUGUCAAAGGAGGCCAGGCUAGACAAAACAGUCAAGCAUGCACUUGCAGUUCAUUCUGCUGUUUCAUCUGGAAACUAUGUCAUGUUCUUUAAAUUAUACAAGAAGGCACCUGGCUUGAACUCAUGUCUUAUGGACCUCUAUGUUGAGAGGAUGCGUUUUGAGGCAAUAAAAUGCAUGUCAAAAUCUUAUCGGCCAACUGUGCCUGUGAGAUAUGCUACACGAGCUUUGGGAUUCACAAGAGUCGAUGAACUCUGUGAGGCUAACGUGGCUGAUGGAUUGGAAGAAUGCGAGGAAUGGUUAAGAGCACAUGGUGCUGUUCUUGCAGUAGAUGAAAAUAACGGAGAGUUACAGAUAGACACAAAGGUCUCUUCUGCUUCUCUAUACAUGCCGGAGCCUGAUAAUGCUGUUUCACAUGGUGAUGCAUCUCUUGCCGUAGAUGAUUUUUUGGCGCGAGCAUCAUAA